This 3025-nucleotide ribosomal RNA is filed under the name Pseudomonadota bacterium. Its description in RNAcentral is "23S ribosomal RNA". It matches the Rfam family "Bacterial large subunit ribosomal RNA". Lineage: Bacteria; Pseudomonadati; Pseudomonadota. RNAcentral also lists the same sequence under 1 other name. The record is from RNAcentral.
GGCCAAGCUACUAAGGGCUUGCGGUGGAUGCCUCGGCGAGUCCUGGCGAUGAAGGGCGUGGCAAGCUGCGAUAAGCCCGGGGGAGGUGCAAGCAACCUGUGAUCCCGGGAUUCCCGAAUGGGGCAACCCAUCCAUCCGUAAGGAUGGAUAUCCGCUACUUUUUGUAGCGGAGGCGAACCGGGGGAAGUGAACCAUCUCAGUACCCCGAGGAAAAGAAAGAAAAAUUCGAUUCCCUGAGUAGCGGCGAGCGAAAGGGGAAGAGCCCAAACCGGAUAAGGUUAGAGCGUAGGCGCGUUCCUUAUCCGGGGUUGUAGGACCUGGCAGGGGAAGGCCUACCUUCCCAGCAGGUUUAAAAAUCUCUCAAAAUAGCCGAAUGACCUGGAAAGGUCAACCAUAGAGGGUGAAAGUCCCGUAGGCGAAAUUUUGGGAGUACCUGCGCCAGGAUCCUGAGUACCGCGGAGGAACCGAGGAACUUCGCGGGAAGCAGGGAGGACCACCUCCCAAGGCUAAAUACACGGACUCGACCGAUAGUGCACAAGUACCGCGAGGGAAAGGUGAAAAGAACCCCGGAAGGGGAGUGAAAUAGAACCUGAAACCGCAAGCCUACAAGCAGUCGGAGCCCACUUUUUGGUGGGUGACGGCGUGCCUAUUGAAGAAUGAGCCAGCGAGUUACUGGCUGCGGCGAGGUUAACCAGCGUCAGCUGGGGAGCCGUAGCGAAAGCGAGUGGUCCUAAUUGGGCCCAUUAGUCGCAGUCAGUAGACCCGAAGCCGAGCGAUCUAACCAUGGCCAGGGUGAACCUGCCGUAACAGGCAGGGGAGGCCCGAACCGGUGGUUGUUGCAAAAACCUCGGAUGAGCUGUGGUUAGGAGUGAAAGGCUAAUCAAGCUCGGUGAUAGCUGGUUCUCCCCGAAAUGCCUUUAGGGGCAGCCUCACCUAAUAAGGUGGUGGGGGUAGAGCACUGAUAGGGCGAGUUCGCCGGUAGGCGAGCAAGUCCUUUCAAACUCCGAAUACCACCACCUGUUUGGUGGGAGUGAGACGGUGGGGGAUAAGCUCCAUCGUCAAGAGGGAUACAGCCCAGACCAUCGGCUAAGGUCCCUAAAUCCGGCCUAAGUGGUAAAGGAGGUGGAGUUGCAUAGACAACCAGGAGGUUGGCUUAGAAGCAGCCAUCCUUUAAAGAAAGCGUAACAGCUCACUGGUCGAUGCAACUCUGCGCCGACAAUUCAACGGGGCUUAAGGCCGGUACCGAAGCCAUGGAUCUGCCACAUAAAUUGUGGCAGGUGGUAGGGGAGCAUUCCCUGGCGGAGAAGGUGUUCCGGAAGGAACACUGGAGCCAAGGGAAGAGAGAAUGCUGGCAUAAGUAGCGAAAAAGUGGGUGAGAAUCCCACUGGCCGAAAGCCUAAGGUUUCCUGGGGAAGGUUCGUCCUCCCAGGGUUAGGCGGGAGCUAAGCCGAGGCCGAAAGGCGUAGGUGAUGCACAGCCGGUUAAUAUUCCGGCCCCACCUGAUAAACGUUAUUACCGAAGGGGUGACGGAUUAGGAUAGGCCAGCCGGCGACUGGUAGUGCCGGUUUAACCCUGGAGGUCCUGCCUGUGGCAAAUCCAUGGGCGAUAUAGGACCAAAAGGGGAAUACGAGCCCAACCGCAAGGGCGGGCGAAGUGGUCGAGUCCUGGUCCCAAGAAAAACCUCGUAGGGAGUUUAUCAGGUGCCCGUACCGCAAACCGACACAGGUAGGCUGGGGGAGUACCCUAAGGCCCGCGAGUGAGCCCUCGCUAAGGAACUCGGCAAGUUAGCCCCGUAACUUCGGGAGAAGGGGUGCCUGAGUAGGGUGAGGUUUAUCCAUAACCAAGCCCGAAAAGGCCGCAGUGAAAUGGCUCCCGCGACUGUUUACCAAAAACACAGGGCUCUGCAAACUCGUCAAGAGGAUGUAUAGGGCCUGACAAGUGCCCGGCGCCGGAAGGUUAAGGGGAGAUGUUAUCCGCCAUUUUGGCGGAGAAGCAUCAAACCUAAGCCCCGGCAAGCGGCGGCCGUAACUAUAACGGUCCUAAGGUAGCGAAAUUCCUUGUCGGGUGAGUUCCGACCCGCAUGAAUCUUGUAACGACGGGAGCGCUGUCUCGGCGAGGGGCUCGGCGAAAUUGUGAUACUCGUGAAGACGCGAGUUACCUGUGGCAAGACGAAAAGACCCCGGAACCUUUACUGUACCCUAUCAUUGGAUUUUAAAGUAGUAUGCGUAGGAUAGGUGGGAGGCGAUGAAGUCCCGCUUUCGGGCGGGAUGGAGCCGACGGUGAAAUACCACUCUUACUACUUUGAAAUCCUAACCUGAGCAUGUCCAACCAUGCCAGGGACAGUGGUAGGCGGGCAGUUUAGCUGGGGCGGCUGCCUCCUAAAAGGUAACGGAGGCGUCCAAAGGUCCCCUCAACCUGGUUGGCAAUCAGGUGUUGAGUGCAAAGGCAGAAGGGGGCCUGACUGCGAGACCGACGGGUCGAGCAGAGGCGAAAGCCGGGCUUAGUGAUCCGGUGGUCCCGUGUGGAAGGGCCAUCGCUCAGCGGAUAAAAGGUACUCCGGGGAUAACAGGCUGAUCCUGCCCAAGAGUCCACAUCGACGGCAGGGUUUGGCACCUCGAUGUCGGCUCACCGCAUCCUGGGGCUGGAGCAGGUCCCAAGGGUUGGUCUGUUCGCCCAUUAAAGCGGUACGUGAGCUGGGUUCAGAACGUCGUGAGACAGUUCGGUCUCUAUCUGCCACAGGCGUAGGAGACUUGAAGGGGGGCUGGCCCUAGUACGAGAGGACCGGGCUGGGCGGACCUCUGGUGUACCAGCUAUUCCGCCAGGAGUAAUCGCUGGGUAGCCAUGUCCGUAAGCGAUAACCGCUGAAAGCAUCUAAGCGGGAAGCGCGCCCCAAGAUAAGGUCUCCCUCUGCCAGAGUAAUCUGGCAGAUAAGGUCCCAGGUAGACUACCUGGUUGAUAGGCCCUGCGUGUAAGACCCGUAAGGGUCUAAGCGGAGGGGUACUAAUAGACCGAUUGGCUUGGCCAU